AGCUUUGCGCAGUGGCAGUAUCGUAGCCAAUGAGGUUUAUCCGAGGCGCGAUUAUUGCUAAUUGAGUAAGUGUCUUUUUCUACUAUAUGCCUACCAUUUUUAUAUUCUUUGAGCACUCUUGAAAGCUUAUUCUGUGCCAAG
This is a small nuclear RNA of Talpa occidentalis (Iberian mole), 141 nucleotides long. RefSeq annotates it as U4 spliceosomal RNA. Lineage: Eukaryota; Metazoa; Chordata; Mammalia; Eulipotyphla; Talpidae. The transcript has a single exon. The record is from RefSeq and is a predicted model, not a curated record.